GCCGCUAUGGUGAAAUUGGUAGACACGCUGCUCUUAGGAAGCAGUGCUAUAGUAUCUCGGUUCGAGUCCGAGUGGCGGCA
This 80-nucleotide transfer RNA is filed under the name Aphyllon uniflorum var. uniflorum. Its description in RNAcentral is "tRNA-Leu". It matches the Rfam family "tRNA". Rfam says of the family: Transfer RNA (tRNA) molecules are approximately 80 nucleotides in length. Their secondary structure includes four short double-helical elements and three loops (D, anti-codon, and T loops). The record is from RNAcentral. Lineage: Eukaryota; Viridiplantae; Streptophyta; Magnoliopsida; Lamiales; Orobanchaceae.